Molecule: long non-coding RNA, 309 nt
Filed under: Equus caballus (horse)
Lineage: Eukaryota; Metazoa; Chordata; Mammalia; Perissodactyla; Equidae
Description: lncRNA (ENSECAG00000059135.1)
Source: RNAcentral
UGAAAUUCAAGUCCUUCAAAGCUAAAAGCUAGGAGAAAGGGGUUUCCUUCCUGGUACCCCUCAGAUCUGCUUGGUAGAGUCCAGGAAUAGACCCACGUUACUCAUUGCUUGUAGACUUCUUGGCAUCACAUGCCUCUAGCUCAGGUACUAUAUUCCACUUUGGAGAUUCAGAGGUAACAUAUACACACCUUUGCUACCCUUACGGAGUUCACAGUUGGAGAGAAGAGGAGAUUCUCCUACAGAGAAGAAUGUGUCAGUCAAAGGGGAGUGGAUGAUCUUCUGUCACCCGUGGAAAUACACAAGAAAGAG